RNAcentral lists this ribosomal RNA (44 nucleotides) under Rhizoctonia solani. RNAcentral's name for it is "partial 18S ribosomal RNA". Lineage: Eukaryota; Fungi; Basidiomycota; Agaricomycetes; Cantharellales; Ceratobasidiaceae. The record is from RNAcentral.
UUUCCGUAGGUGAACCUGCGGAAGGAUCAUUAUUGAAAUUUAUU